UCUGGUGAUUUGACGCAGAGGCAAUACCUGUUCUCAUUCCGAACACAGAAGUCAAGCUCUGUAGUGCCGAUGGUACUCGCAAGGGGAGAGUAGGCAGUCGCCAGUU
RNAcentral lists this ribosomal RNA (106 nucleotides) under Candidatus Yonathbacteria bacterium. Lineage: Bacteria; Candidatus Yonathiibacteriota. The record is from RNAcentral.